Long non-coding RNA from Ictalurus punctatus (channel catfish), 752 nucleotides. NCBI's taxonomy places the organism in Eukaryota, Metazoa, Chordata, Actinopteri, Siluriformes, Ictaluridae. The record is from Ensembl.
CUUUACAGCUGAGUUGGCCUAUAAAAGUCAAAGUGGCUGUUCUUCAAAGACAGUGGGAUAGAGAGAGCAGAGAGAGGAAAAGGCGAGAAGGGGAAGGAGAAUGUUGGUGUUGGAUGAAGGGACAAGUUUUUUGGAUCCGGCUGCAACCUGGACACCCUGGAGUUGGUGGUGGAAAGACGGAUGGCGGACAAAAUGAGGAGGAUCAUGGACAAUAGCAAACACUUCCUCUAUGCCACACUGGCCAAACAGCGGAGCUUCUUCUCCAAUAGAUUACAGCAGCUUUGCUGUAACAAAGAAAGGCACAAGAAGGAAUUCUUGCUCACUGCUAUCCGACUCUACAAUGAGCCAACAAUGAGGUUGGGGAGCUAUGUGGACACUGAAGACAAUGGACAUGUCUACUGAUUUUGCAUACCCAUCUACUACACGUGAUUUCCAUUCACCCAUCCAUUUUCUGUACCACUUAUCCUACAUGGGAAGCCUGGAGCCUAACAUGGAAAACAGGCUAAAUCUGCGUACACAGGGCGGAAGCGGAAAUCAAACACCCGACCCCGGAGUGCUCGGAUGAAAAUGCCAUGCCACGGCGAUCUGUCCACACAGAGAAGAGAGAGGAAAAGACGUGAGACGUAAAAGAGGUGACAUAAUGACACGUUCACUAGUUUACAAAAAUUCAGAACAAUGAUGGCCCCUACAGCAAAGUGUUUUCCUACCCCAAGACUUGAACUAUUUCUUUUAGAGUGUAUAUUUUAACUGGG